This 498-nucleotide ribosomal RNA is filed under the name uncultured bacterium. RNAcentral describes it as "partial 16S ribosomal RNA". It matches the Rfam family "Bacterial small subunit ribosomal RNA", at positions 30 to 523 of the family's 1533-position model. The record is from RNAcentral.
AUUGAACGCUGGCGGCAUGCCUUACACAUGCAAGUCGAACGGUAACAGGUCUUCGGAUGCUGACGAGUGGCGAACGGGUGAGUAAUACAUCGGAACGUGCCUAGUAGUGGGGGAUAACUACUCGAAAGAGUGGCUAAUACCGCAUGAGAUCUACGGAUGAAAGCAGGGGAUCGCAAGACCUUGUGCUACUAGAGCGGCCGAUGGCAGAUUAGGUAGUUGGUGGGAUAAAAGCUUACCAAGCCGACGAUCUGUAGCUGGUCUGAGAGGACGAUCGGACACACUGGGACUGAGAAACGGGCCAGACUCCUACGGGAGGCAGCAGUGGGGAAUUUUGGACAAUUGGCGCAAGCCUGAUCCAGCAAUGCCGCGUGCAGGAUGAAGGCCUUCGGGUUGUAAACUGCUUUUGUACGGAACGAAAAGCCCCGGGUUAAUACCCUGGGGUCAUGACGGUACCGUAAGAAUAAGCACCGGCUAACUACGUGCCAGCCGCCGCCGUAA